This 402-nucleotide ribosomal RNA is filed under the name uncultured bacterium. Its description in RNAcentral is "partial 16S ribosomal RNA". It matches the Rfam family "Bacterial small subunit ribosomal RNA", at positions 360 to 776 of the family's 1533-position model. The record is from RNAcentral.
AAUAUUGGGCAAUGGGCGCAAGCCUGACCCAGCAACGCCGCGCGAGGGAAGAAGGUCUUCGGAUUGUAAACCCCUGUCCUUGGGGACGAAAAAAAGUACGGUACCCAAGGAGGAAGCUCCGGCGCACUACGUGCCACCACCCUCGGUACUACGUAGGGAGCGAGCGUUGUCCGGAAUUACUGGGCGUAAAGGGUCCGUAGGCGGUGUGGCAAGUCAGAUGUGAAAUCCCCGGGCUUAACUCGGGUGGUGCAUUUGAAACUGCUGAACUUGAGUGCAGGAGAGGAAAGCGGAAUUCCUAGUGUAGCGGUGAAAUGCGUAGAUAUUAGGAGGAACACCAGUGGCGAAGGCGGCUUUCCGGACUGUAACUGACGCUGAGGCACGAAAGCGUGGGGAGCAAACAGG